Molecule: ribosomal RNA, 254 nt
Filed under: uncultured bacterium
Lineage: Bacteria
Description: partial 16S ribosomal RNA
Rfam family: Bacterial small subunit ribosomal RNA
Source: RNAcentral
UACGAAGGGUCCAAGCGUUAUCCGGAUUUAUUGGGUUUAAAGGGUGCGUAGGCGGACUAUUAAGUCAGUGGUGAAAUCCUGCAGCUUAACUGUAGAAUUGCCAUUGAUACUGAUGGUCUUGAGUAUGGUUGAAGUGGGCGGAAUGUGCGGUGUAGCGGUGAAAUGCUUAGAGAUCGCACAGAACACCUAUUGCGAAGGCAGCUCACUAAACCAUCACUGACGCUGAGUGCACGAAAGCGUGGGGAGCAAACAGG